GACGAACGCUGGCGGCGUGCUCAACACAUGCAAGUCGAACGGAAAGGCCCUGCUUUUGUGGGGUGCUCGAGUGGCGAACGGGUGAGUAACACGUGAGUAACCUGCCCUUGACUUUGGGAUAACUUCAGGAAACUGGGGCUAAUACCGGAUAGGAGCUCCUGCUGCAUGGUGGGGGUUGGAAAGUUUCGGCGGUUGGGGAUGGACUCGCGGCUUAUCAGCUUGUUGGUGGGGUAGUGGCUUACCAAGGCUUUGACGGGUAGCCGGCCUGAGAGGGUGACCGGCCACAUUGGGACUGAGAUACGGCCCAGACUCCUACGGGAGGCAGCAGUGGGGAAUAUUGCACAAUGGGCGGAAGCCUGAUGCAGCAACGCCGCGUGCGGGAUGACGGCCUUCGGGUUGUAAACCGCUUUCGCCUGUGACGAAGCGUGAGUGACGGUAAUGGGUAAAGAAGCACCGGCUAACUACGUGCCAGCAGCCGCGGUGAUACGUAGGGUGCGAGCGUUGUCCGGAUUUAUUGGGCGUAAAGGGCUCGUAGGUGGUUGAUCGCGUCGGAAGUGUAAUCUUGGGGCUUAACCCUGAGCGUGCUUUCGAUACGGGUUGACUUGAGGAAGGUAGGGGAGAAUGGAAUUCCUGGUGGAGCGGUGGAAUGCGCAGAUAUCAGGAGGAACACCAGUGGCGAAGGCGGUUCUCUGGGCCUUUCCUGACGCUGAGGAGCGAAAGCGUGGGGAGCGAACAGGCUUAGAUACCCUGGUAGUCCACGCUGUAAACGGUGGGUACUAGGUGUGGGGUCCAUUCCACGGGUUCCGUGCCGUAGCUAACGCUUUAAGUACCCCGCCUGGGGAGUACGGCCGCAAGGCUAAAACUCAAAGGAAUUGACGGGGCCCCGCACAAGCGGCGGAGCAUGCGGAUUAAUUCGAUGCAACGCGUAGAACCUUACCUGGGUUUGACAUGGAUCGGGAGUGCUCAGAGAUGGGUGUGCCUCUUUUGGGGUCGGUUCACAGGUGGUGCAUGGCUGUCGCCAGCUCGUGUCGUGAGAUGUUGGGUUAAGUCCCGCAACGAGCGCAACCCUUGUUCACUGUUGCCAGCACGUUAUGGUGGGGACUCAGUGGAGACCGCCGGGGUCAACUCGGAGGAAGGUGGGGAUGACGUCAAGUCAUCAUGCCCCUUAUGUCCAGGGCUUCACGCAUGCUACAAUGGCUGGUACAGAGAGUGGCGAGCCUGUGAGGGUGAGCGAAUCUCGGAAAGCCGGUCUCAGUUCGGAUUGGGGUCUGCAACUCGACCUCAUGAAGUCGGAGUCGCUAGUAAUCGCAGAUCAGCAACGCUGCGGUGAAUACGUUCCCGGG
RNAcentral lists this ribosomal RNA (1343 nucleotides) under uncultured bacterium. RNAcentral describes it as "16S ribosomal RNA". It matches the Rfam family "Bacterial small subunit ribosomal RNA", at positions 28 to 1378 of the family's 1533-position model. The record is from RNAcentral.